UUUUUUGUUUCAUCUCUUAUGCUUUAUUUUCUAAAACAUGAUUCAGUUUCAAUCACGUUAAAUCAUAUAUAUGAAAGUUGACCAACUCUCUCCAUAUGAUUGACACAUCAUCACUAUCAUCACUUUAGCAUUUGCUAAUUGUCCACUGAAUAAUUAAUGUAAACUCUUCAACUUAUAAUUUAUAGAUUAAUGAUGUAUUUAUUAUUUAAUUUUAUAU
RNAcentral lists this small RNA (217 nucleotides) under Arabidopsis thaliana (thale cress). RNAcentral describes it as "ATSL012710". The record is from RNAcentral. Lineage: Eukaryota; Viridiplantae; Streptophyta; Magnoliopsida; Brassicales; Brassicaceae.